GUGCUUGUUUUGGCAACACAUAUACUAAAAUUGGAACAAUACAGAAAAGAUCAGCAUGGCCUCUCCGCAAAGGAUGACAUGAAAAUUUGUGAAGUGUUUCAUAUUUUA
This 108-nucleotide small nuclear RNA is filed under the name Neotoma lepida (desert woodrat). The record is from RNAcentral. Lineage: Eukaryota; Metazoa; Chordata; Mammalia; Rodentia; Cricetidae.